UCUCCUAAGAAGCAAGAAAAAGGAAAAGAUUUCUUCCUGGAUUGAUCAGCAACGAGGACAAGAGUCCUUGCUUUGCACUUUUCAAAAUUCAUUUCCCCACCUAAAAGGUCUAUAGCUCCCUAGAGGGCUCAGAUCCGGCCCACCUCUCCCCAAAACCCACCGUGUUUCCUGCAGAUACAUCUGAUGCAUCUGCGUCAUCAAAAUGGAAGAAUAGGAUGGGAGAGAAGAAUCCGGUAAAGGCAGGCAAGUAGGGCUCUGACAUAUCCAGCUUUGCGCUCCUUCCCUUUCCCCCUCUCAGUCCCCAGCCCUGCCCCAGCACCUACCUGGGCCUAUCCUUGCCUUCUCCUCUUCCUAGCGAUGCUCACCACCAGGUGUGCCGCGAAGCUUCUGGUCCUCAGACCUGCGAUCAACCCCGAAGGAUGGUGAGAUGCACUUUCUUGUCAACUUGUACGCCUUUCUGUGAAAACUGAGCGAUUGAGUAACAUGACGUGGCAACUUUCGCAGUCAGAUUCUCCAUCAUCUCCAAGAUGUACAGAUGUGUGUAUGUCUGUCUGCCGAUCCCUUUGCUGAUAACAGAACCAGGUGCCUUCCUGCUUCCAACGAGACCUGAAGACCAGUAUCUCCAAGGCAUCCUCCAGGCCUUUGGUGCAGAUUAGGACAGCUGAGACACGUAGCACAGCCUCCCGGGGUAAACAACUAGUCCAUUUCCAACCCCUCUUCCACUCUAUUAUGCAAAUCAACCCAGUAAAUACGUUUUUUAUGGGCCAGUGAGAUAGCUCAGCCAGUAAAAUGCUGCCUGCCAAGCCUGAUGUCCCAAUGACCUGAGGAACUAAGGUCUAUUUCAUUAAUCCACAUGGUGAAACUAGAGAACAAAAUAAUUCUGCUCUGCAUGGCAUCUUCUGACCUCUACAUACAUGCUAUGGCAUGUUCUUGUAAGGCACUUUCUUUCUCUUCUGAUUCCUCUCCCCCUCCCUCUCUCCCUCCCUUCCCCUCCCUCUCUGUCUCUCUGUCUGUCUCUCUGUCUCUCUGCCUCUCUCUCUCUCUCUCUCUCUCUCUCUCUCUCUCUCUCUCUCUCUCUUUCUGCCUGUGACAUAUACAGUAAAUAAAUGAAUGAAUAUAGACAGGGAAUGUAGUGUCAGGGAAAUUUACUUACCCCUCAAAGGGUUUUGUUUAAUGUGGUUCUUAUACUUCUAUGGUUAGGUUUUUGGAGACAAGGUCUCACUAUGGAGCCUUGGCUAGACUGGAACUCUCUGUGUGACCAGUGUGGCCUUGAAUUCAGAGAACACCUAGUGGUUCUCAUACUUCUUAUGGAACUCCAGUUAUUUCACUAAAUAGUGAGUUUUUGCUAAAGUGACAAAUAGUUCACCAACCUUGUGUUGCUUCCUAUUUUCCAUACAUCUCUUACCUAUGUAUAUCGUGAGUGUGUGUUAUUAUCAUGCCAUCUGCCGUGAGUCCAUUAUCAGAAGCAAGAUUGGUGACAGUAUCUAAUCUUGAACUUUUUCAAAAUGGCACUAAAUAAACCUGUUUUUGUUCUAAGGUACCCAGGAUCAAGAAUUUUGUAAUAGUAGUGGGAAAUGGGCUAAUGUACAAUGUUAAUAAUAAUCAUAAAAUACUUUAAUAUUUUCUUCUUAAAUUGAUUUUUUUAGUACUAGGUAGGGAUCAAAUCCCAAGCUUCAGGUACUUUACCCACUGAACUAUUACCUCUGCUGUUAGGUUGGCCAUGUUGACAUUAUAAAAUAUAUAUCUUAAACUCUAAUAUUUUGUUUCUUGUCUUAACAUUCACCUUAUUGGAGUUUUUGUAGCUACAUCAGUUUUUAUUUUGAAACUACAGGCCAGUAUUUUUCUAAUAUAUGAAUUUCUAUCAUUCCCAAUAGUUAUUUUUAAAAUGUUACUCUUAUAGCAACCUGUGUCUUAUUAUUCAGUCAACUUAAACUUACUCUGUUGAAAAUAUUUUUGCUAUACCUCUCAAUUGACUCCUGUAUUCUCUAUUCCUACUGAUUAAAUAAAACUAUGAGAGUUUAAAAGAUAAUUUCUGGAUCUUCAAAACUUAUGUGCCCAAAAUUUGUCUGUGUACAUAUCCAUUGACUUAAAGAGUAUGGAUUCUCUGAGGAGAAAGUCUAUCAAAAGUCUUAGUUUGUAAGGGACUCACAUUUUAUUUUAAAAAGAAAUUUGUCACAAGGCCAGAAAUCAAUAUAUGGCUGUGCUUUCAUUGACCAGAAGAAUGUAUAUCAAUAUGGCGGGUACCCGGUUUUCAGUCUCCAAAUUGUCCUUGACUGAUCUUAUUCCUUUCUGUAGUAGUCACAGAAUCUUGGAAAUGAGGAUACUCAAUUCCACACCUAUAACCUAGAACUCAAAGCUUUUGAAUUUCUACAUGGCUGUCUAGUGUGAUUGUCCUUCACAGCAUUUCAAAAGCACCUCAGGCUUAUCACAUGGAAAAGUAAUGACCAGGAGUAAGCUGUCCGUUCCCCUGAACUGGAAAGCCUGCUCGGGCAUGUUCAAAAUGCAUUACUGGAUCUGGUCACAAGAUGGCCCUUUAUUCUACACUUAAAGAUUUUUUAAUACACAACCAAAUUUUGAUCAGGAAAAAAAAACUAUUCUUACAAGUUAGAGAAUAUUAUUUACUAAGUAUUACACAUUGAUUCUUGAAGAUGUGUUUGUAUCAAAUCACCAAAAGAUUCUGCUCUGACAUUUCCUUUUCCUUUCUCCUUUUUAACCAAUACAAUCAAUAUCUAAUUUUUUCAUUGCUAGAAGAUAUACUUUCCUAAUGAGUAGCUUUUUGCUUUGUGUUCUGACUUCUGCUUUUUCAUAACUUGGACUUACUUGGAUAACCUCUUCAGUUGUCAAUAUCAGGAAAUUUGCUUUUUUUUUCUGUUCCAAGUACCUAUUUCCUGUGUGACUCUUGAUUGGAUUAAUAGACACUGGGGUCCUGAGUGAUCCUCACCUUUGGAUGUGUCUAUGAAAGUGUUUCCAGAGAGGAUUACCUGCCCUGAAUGUAGGCGGCACUCUUGCAUAGGUAGGAAUCUCAGACAAAAUAAAGAGACAAAGGAGAAGGUAACUUGACUGCUGGCAUUACCUUUUCUGUGCUUCUUGUUGGAUGCUAGAGACAAAGCAUUAGUACUACCCUGCCAUAAUGGAGUGGUCCCCAAACCCUUCCUCCCUUAAGUUGGUUAUUGUAAAAAUAGUUGGUCCCAGCCCCAUGAAAAGUGAUUCUGAGAAGUAGGGUUGUGGCUAUGGCUACCAUAUUUUGUAGGUUUUUGGAAAGAGUGUGUAAAAGUUUGGAGCCAUGAGCUAGAGAAGCAUGAGCAUGACACAAGAAGAACUUCAUGGGCAAUAGCUCUUCUGUAUGGUAAGAAGCUUGGAAUGCCAAUAGGAAGGUCAAUAGGAAGGCCAGCACUCACAAGCUUCCCCAGAAUAAGCACGCUAUUGGAAACUAGACUGGAGGUUAUUUAUGGUUUCUUUUGGCAAAGAAUUGGACUACACCCUGCCAAUUUCCUGAGCAUCUAAGUGAGGAUGAUUUGUUUGGUGGAGGAAAUUUCAAGGCAGCAUAACAUUCACACUGUGAUAUUGACGUUGCUCUCUCUGUUUAGCCAGACUUGGAGGGAGAAGAAACAGAAAGUAGUUUAUUUAGCAUUUAGUUUCUAAGACUCAGGGGCUUUGACUUCUAUGGUGAAAGCUUGCUGACUAUAUCCGAGCCUGAUGGAUGACAAGAUGGCAGGUAUGUCUGUGACAAAGAUGAGAGGGAGCUGGAGAGCAAUCAAAGUUGUGUGUUUUGUUUGGGUGACUCAUCCUUGCCCUUUCAUAAGAGUCCUUUUGUGAGAAAUAGCUGGAGUUCCUUUAGAAUUGCGUCAGUUCCUGUCAAAGGCAAUGAAUGCCCUUCAGAGGUCUAAUGGCCUCAUCCUGGAUGAUACCUCUUGAAGGUUCCAUCACCGGGGACCAAGUUUUCAACAUACAAAUGCCAGGGUGAUACUAAAUGCAAGAGCAUUGCUUGUGGCUUGAAAAUGGUUCAAGCACAGGUUUUUGAAGCAAGGAAAAGAUUGCACUUGGAAUGCUAACAAAGCAAAGAAAAUCAGAGGCUAGCGCCAACAAAAGAUGAUUUUACUGAGUUCAGGAAUGCAAAGCAGCAUUUUAGAGAAGAAAAGGAAGGGAGAUAAUGGACAUCAGAGUACUGUUUACUGAAGACUUCUAGUUUCUAGUGGCCAAGAAUGAACUAUUGUCUUAGUUACCCUUAUCUUGGUGUCUGUAGCUUUGAAGAGGGAACAUAUUGUGCAAAUUUAGGCCAAAUCAACCUUGUAUUCUUGUUCUGAACAAACCAUGUCUUAAAUUACUGCUAUGUCUACAUGUCAAAUGGAGCAGAAAUCUGGCUAAAGGUUAAGGUAAUCAAACAGAAGAUACAGCGUGAAGGCAGCAAUGCCAAGUUUUAAAAUACACUUUUAGACAUUCUGGGUGUGUGUGACCAAGUAAAAUGCCAAUACUCUCACCUUUAGUCCCUAAUCCAAGCAACUGUUAUCAUCGUAAAACUAGUAACUUGACUUUUAAAGUCAAUUAAAAGAUAAAGAAGCUAGCUAGAGUCCCCCUGUUAAAGAGGAACACAAUUAAGCCAUAGCCAAUCUCACUCUAGUCUUUCAAGAAGACUCAAGCUAUUGAAUAUUGAGUUAUCUAUGUCUCAAGUGCACUUGCUUCUCAGAAUAUAUAUAUAUAUAUAUGAAAUAAAAUGUUGAAAGUUUUCUAUGAGCUAAGUGAUUUACAGCAGACACACCGUGUUAAGAUGUUCCAACGAGCCAUGACGUGUAUAAAGUAUUACCUUCUUUAAGAUGAGGAGACUGUUACUAACAGUAUGUACUGGCAAGUAAGUGAUCAAGCAACACAACUUCUUGACAGUAUCAGGGCUCUAGAGUUAAGCAUGAUUGUCCUUCAUUUUAAAUAAUUCCCCCAAGUAACGUCAUGAUAAAAUAAAAAAAUUUAAAGGCAUACACUUUGAAAGCAUUUGCUAUAUAGCAGGCACCAGUCUAAGGAAUGUACAUGUAUGAAUUCACGAAUGUAACCAAAGUAAUUUGGCUGUCACUUCUGACUGUAAAACAGUACUUUGGAAAAGACUACAGAAGAAUUAAGAAUAAAGUUUCAGUUGCCUUAAAAAAAAAUCUUACUUCUAUUUCGAGAUUCGCCCUUUCUCCCUGAUUUCUGACCUAGCUAC
Non-coding RNA from Rattus norvegicus (Norway rat), 5191 nucleotides. The record is from RefSeq and is a predicted model, not a curated record. NCBI's taxonomy places the organism in Eukaryota, Metazoa, Chordata, Mammalia, Rodentia, Muridae.